GAAUAAUCUCUUCUUGCCUAUUUCUACCAGUUUGUCUUCUAGCAGGACAAGGAAAAGUGAAAAGAGACAAAAGCUCCAGAAUCUUUGGACCAUGAGGCCCAGAGAGAAGAGCUUAAUACAGCCUCCCAAACAGUUGGAGUGAAAGGAAUCCUGUGAAGGACACAAGUGAAGAAGCCCGUGAUAACCUGCUGAAUAAAGAGAGAUCUGUGGUCCAGUCACCCCUACUGCUUCCGCCAAUAGCCUAAGAAAUGCUGGAUAAGUGAGUGAGGCUAUCCUUGGUCAUCUCUGCUAGCUGACUGGCAAGCUGACUACAACAGCAUAAAAGAACCCAAUGGAAUUGGAGAGCUAAUGACCCAUAAAACUCAGAGUUGAUAUUUUAAAGUGCUUUAUAGUUUUCUUUUUAUAUAUGCACCACUAUAGUGUCCAUUUUCAAAUUAUUCAUCUGUUGAUUCCUAGGGAAAAUUAAUAGUCUAUAACAUAAAGUUCCUUUAAAACUUGGAUAUGAAGUCUUUGUAGUGUUACCUUUUUUUAGCAGUGGAGUGAAUAACAUCAAUAUAUCUAAUUAAUACCAAUAGAGAUUUUCCCCCAUUUGACCAAUUAUAAAAAUAUCAUUAAUAUUUUUCAGGAUACAUUGUGUUUGCAUAAGGGCUUUAUUAUAAAAUCAUUACUUUUUCCAGGAGGAUAUGUGAACAUGAAAGAACUGUCAAGUAGUUCCAAUGUUCCUCCAGACAUGGGGUAGAUUACAUUGUAGUUUAAACUGUACCAAUUCUUUUAACAAAUAAAUCAAAUAGACACUCUAAA
Molecule: long non-coding RNA, 801 nt
Filed under: Homo sapiens (human)
Lineage: Eukaryota; Metazoa; Chordata; Mammalia; Primates; Hominidae
Description: HSALNT0285349
Source: RNAcentral